This 494-nucleotide ribosomal RNA is filed under the name uncultured bacterium. Its description in RNAcentral is "bacterial SSU rRNA". It matches the Rfam family "Bacterial small subunit ribosomal RNA", at positions 28 to 506 of the family's 1533-position model. The record is from RNAcentral.
GAUGAACGCUAGCGGCAGGCUUAAUACAUGCAAGUUGAGGGGCAGCAUGAUAUACGCGAGUAUAUUGAUGGCGACCGGCGGACGGGUGAGUAAUAGGUAGGAGACCUACCUCAUACAGGGGGAUAGCAUAGAGAAAUCUGUGGUAAUACCCCAUGAGGUUAUAUGAAUAGAGGCAUAUAAUCAAAGCAUAAGCGAUUAUGCGGUAUGAGAGGGGCCUACUGACCAUUAGCUAGUUGGUGAGGUAAGGGCUCACCAAGGCGAAGAUGGUUAGGGGUUUUGAGAGAGAGACCCCCCACAUUGGAACUGAGAGACGGUCCAGACUCCUACGGGAGGCAGCAGUAGGGAAUAUUGGGCAAUGGGCGAAAGCCUGACCCAGCCAUGCCGCGUGAAGGAAGACGGCCUUAUGGGGUUGUAAACUUCUUUACUACGCGAAUAGAGGUUAGUACGAGAUACUAAUAGGAAGGUAGUGUAGUAAAAGCACCGGCUAACUCCGU